Long non-coding RNA from Aegilops tauschii subsp. strangulata, 1912 nucleotides. RefSeq lists it as uncharacterized. NCBI's taxonomy places the organism in Eukaryota, Viridiplantae, Streptophyta, Magnoliopsida, Poales, Poaceae. The record is from RefSeq and is a predicted model, not a curated record.
GGAGGAGUCCACGGGGAGGGAGAGGGGCGGCGAGGGUGGAGGCGGAGGAGAUGUCCGCGGGGAGGGAGAAGGGCGGGGAUGGGGAGGAAGAGGGGCGGCGAGGGAGGAGGCGGAGAAGGAGACCGCAGGUGCUGUGGGGCGAGAUGGAGGAGGAGCGCCUCGCCGCGGCCAUCGCCGCCAGCAAUGCCAUGGCCAUGAUGCGGCGCCUGCAGAAGGAGAAGGUCGAGGUCUAGAUGGAGCUCCGCCAGUUCCGCCGCUUCGACGCGGAGAUCGACCAUCUCCGCGCCCUCAUCACCUGCCUCGCGCCUGUCCACUACAUGCUCCACGCCUACAGGAUUCUCUUCUUACCGUCGGCGUUCACCUCAUCAUCAAAGUGUUCUCCUUGCUGUCUCGGGUCGCUGAAUCAUUAACGCCCAAGCAUGAUCUGUGCUGGAGCCUUUCCGGCAGUUCAGAACUGAACUCUUCAUUUUCUGAAGUCCUUCAAAAUUUUCAGGGUCAAGAUGAUGAAGAUGGAAAGCUGCAGAGGGCCUGAGGCGGUACUCGUGCAAGAACCUCACCCAUGGUGGAGCUGAUAUGAUAGAGAAGCAAAACUCAGCUCGCUGUCUUAUUUCCGAUUCUUUUAUUACAAUUACAGUACUUAUUUUGUUGGAUACAUAUUUUAUCAGAUCGUUUCUUCUUUGUUUAUUGACAACAAUAAUUGAUUGCCUUAUGCUUUUGUACAUAUGUUUUUUAAUCAUCUGUUGGACUAACUAACUUACCUGGAUUCAAGAGUCUGUUAGUAGGUGAAUUCGUGCUUUAGUAGAGUCAAUAGUUGGUCAAGUUCGUUGGUCCAGUUUAUGGUCGUUGAGACACAGUGAUGUUUCUGUAUCGGCAGGGUGACUGCUUGGUUUUUUGUAUCCUUGGACAUUUUGGUUUCAUAAUAUAUGAAACUAGAAAUGCACGCUCAUUACAAAAGGAUUCUGUGAACAACAAUGUCAAAGCUACAAGAAUGUCAAGUUGUCUUGACCUGAAACUUGUGAAGAACAAUAAUUAUUAGGUGUCUAGGUCGGGCAUUCCAGUAUUUUGAGUGGAGUAAUUCCACAAUGCACAGCCAUCUUCAUUGAACAACUGAAAGUAAUAUACAGAACACAAUCGCUUGUUUAUUUCUUGACAACCAAUUGAUUUGCUAACUAUUCUAUUCUUAGAGUACAAGGCAAAGUUAUGUGGUGGGUCGGAUGGAGAGCUUGGCACGGCGAUGUGGUAGGCUGCUCUGCAGCGGCACGAAUGGAGAGCUCAGUCAACGAUGGCGGGACGACCGACUGAUCUGCGGCAGCGUGGAAGGAGAGCUCGGCGGUCGACGGCGGCUCGGCCAGCUGUUCUGCGAUGUUUCGGAGGGAGAACUUAUUGUACUGAGACUGCUUUGGCUGUUUCAGAGGCCAUACACACAUAUAAAUACGCAACUACUCCCUCGACUGAAGCCUCAGCCCAAUUGUGUCGUUUCGUCGUGCUUGACAUUGGUGUCUUGCCGUUCUGCCAACCUGGUAGGAAUUUCUCCGUACUGCCGACUUCACCGGAAUUACAUCCGCCAGCGUAGCCAAGGCACAUCGGUCAAACUGCUCGAGCAAUACUGAUUUGGAGUUGUUUUGGUCAAGCGGUUGAACUGAACCAUGCUACUGUACAGUAGCCAAAAGGAUAGUCAGUUUGUUUCCCUGACCCCUGUGAUCUGAAGCGGCUAAACUGAACCAUGCUAUUACACAAUAGCCCAAAGUUGUCUGGUAGAUAUGAGUAUCAUCAUAUAAUUUUGUUUCUAGAAUAUGUAAUAGGUAACCAGCAAUGUUGUUGUCAGUUUACAAGAAUGCUGACGUUGUUUGAAUGCAUAUAUACUUACUGGAAUUAGUUUGAAUGCAUAUACAGUACCUUGAUGUUGAAUUUA